CAGUAGCGUAUAUUAAAGUUGUUGCAGUUAAAAGCUCGUAGUUGGAUUUCUGGUACAACGCGCCUGGCCCGCUUACGUGAGUGCCGGUGCGCGUUUGCCAUCCUUCUAGAAAACGUCUCUACUCGGGCAACUGAGCCGGAUUCGCGAUCUAGAUCUUUACUUGAAAAAUUAGAGUGUUUAAAGCAGGCUAUUGCCUUGAAUACAUUAGCAUGGAAUAAUAAGAUAGGACCUCGGUUCUAUUUUGUUGGUUUCUAGAGCUGAGGUAAUGAUUAAUAGGGAUAGUUGGGGGCAUUCGUAUUUAACUGUCAGAGGUGAAAUUCUUGGAUUUGUUAAAGACGAACUACUGCGAAAGCAUUUGCCAAGGAUGUUUUCAUUGAUCAAGAACGAAAGUUAGGGGAUCGAAGACGAUUAGAUACC
Molecule: ribosomal RNA, 417 nt
Filed under: uncultured eukaryote
Lineage: Eukaryota
Description: bacterial SSU rRNA
Rfam family: Eukaryotic small subunit ribosomal RNA
Source: RNAcentral